This is a long non-coding RNA of Gavialis gangeticus (Gharial), 211 nucleotides long. RefSeq lists it as uncharacterized. Lineage: Eukaryota; Metazoa; Chordata; Crocodylia; Gavialidae. The transcript has 3 exons. The record is from RefSeq and is a predicted model, not a curated record.
UGAGCAGUGGCCUUAGAGGUUCCCAGCUCUGCUUCCAGCUCCUCCAAUCAGAGGCCAGGCAGCUUGACAUGAGGCCGGGGCUCCAGGAAGGUCAAGACCCCUAGCAGGCUGGAGUAGUGCCACCACUGGUGGCUGUGUGGCAAUGUUUCUGCCUUCCACGUGGGAGAUCUGCAUUCAAGUUCUAGCUGGGGUGUCUUGGGGUGAAUGAAGA